CCUUCUUCUUUUUUAUCCCCACUUCAGCCCUACAUUCAAAGCAUCAGAUUUGGAGAGUGACUUGUCAACAACCAUAAAAUAAAGACAUUAUACAAGCAAUGAGAGAUUUGGUGCUGAGGACCCAGAAGGAAUCUCUCCAUUCCUGGGCCGAAUUGAGCUUAUCUUCUUUGUAUCCAAUACUCUUCGUCGUUUUACAACAAUAUCUUCUGAUCAUCCCACGUUGUUCUAGCUAGCUCUCGCCUCCUUUCAUUAUAUAUUCAGUCUUUCCGUUAUUGUUGCCAAAAUCAUUAAUAAACAAUUUCUUCUUUUACUAGCUCUUAGUACAAAGUGGGUGUACAUGUUUGCAGAUUAUUGGCUUUCACAUUAUUUUUGUUUCCCUCUCUCACUUCAAAUCCAAUCCCCAUAGGCAGAGACAGCUUGUGUGAGUGCGUUUUUCAACUUCUUAAGUACACUUGUUUAUUCAACGCAACUCCGCUUAGUAUUUGGAUCACAUGGGAGAGCAUAAGUUGGGACAACUUUGUAUUAAGAUUUGGAGAUGGAAACGGA
RNAcentral lists this long non-coding RNA (546 nucleotides) under Populus trichocarpa (black cottonwood). RNAcentral describes it as "long non-coding RNA (PTRI_LNC001797)". The record is from RNAcentral. Lineage: Eukaryota; Viridiplantae; Streptophyta; Magnoliopsida; Malpighiales; Salicaceae.